AGCGAACGCUGGCGGCAGGCUUAACACAUGCAAGUCGAACGGGCAUCUUCGGAUGUCAGUGGCAGACGGGUGAGUAACACGUGGGAACGUACCCUUCGGUUCGGAAAUACUCAGGGAAACUUGAGCUAAUACCGGAUACGCCCUUUUGGGGAAAGGUUUACUGCCGAAGGAUCGGCCCGCGUCUGAUUAGCUUGUUGGUGGGGUAACGGCCUACCAAGGCGACGAUCAGUAGCUGGUCUGAGAGGAUGAUCAGCCACACUGGGACUGAGACACGGCCCAGACUCCUACGGGAGGCAGCAGUGGGGAAUAUUGGACAAUGGGCGCAAGCCUGAUCCAGCCAUGCCGCGUGAGUGAUGAAGGCCUUAGGGUUGUAAAGCUCUUUUGUCCGGGACGAUAAUGACGGUACCGGAAGAAUAAGCCCCGGCUAACUUCGUG
RNAcentral lists this ribosomal RNA (435 nucleotides) under uncultured bacterium. RNAcentral's name for it is "partial 16S ribosomal RNA". It matches the Rfam family "Bacterial small subunit ribosomal RNA", at positions 29 to 507 of the family's 1533-position model. The record is from RNAcentral.